UAGGGAAUCUUCGGCAAUGGGGGCAACCCUGACCGAGCAACGCCGCGUGAGUGAAGAAGGUUUUCGGAUCGUAAAGCUCUGUUGUAAGAGAAGAACGAGUGUGAGAGUGGAAAGUUCACGCUGUGACGGUAUCUUACCAGAAAGGGACGGCUAACUACGUGCCAGCAGCCGCGGUAAUACGUGGGUCCCGAGCGUUAUCCGGAUUUAUUGGGCGUAAAGCGAGCGCAGGCGGUUAGAUAAGUCUGAAGUUAAAGGCUGUGGCUUAACCAUAGUACGCUUUGGAAACUGUUUAACUUGAGUGCAGAAGGGGAGAGUGGAAUUCCAUGUGUAGCGGUGAAAUGCGUAGAUAUAUGGAGGAACACCGGUGGCGAAAGCGGCUCUCUGGUCUGUAACUGACGCUGAGGCUCGAAAGCGUGGGGAGCAAACAGGAUUAGAUACCCUGGUAGUCCACGCCGUAAACGAUGAGUGCUAGGUGUUGGGUCCUUUCCGGGACUCAGUGCCGCAGCUAACGCAUUAAGCACUCCGCCUGGGGAGUACGAUCGCAAGGUUG
Molecule: ribosomal RNA, 550 nt
Filed under: uncultured bacterium
Lineage: Bacteria
Description: bacterial SSU rRNA
Rfam family: Bacterial small subunit ribosomal RNA
Source: RNAcentral